ACGAACGCUGGCGGCAGGCCUAACACAUGCAAGUCGAACGCUCCGCAAGGGGAGUGGCGCACGGGUGAGUAACACGUGGGACCUACCUUCUGGUACGGAACAACCAAGGGAAACUUUGGCUAAGACCGUAUACGACCUCCGGGUGAAAGAUUGAUCGCCGGAAGAGGGGCCCGCGUCCGAUUAGGUAGUUGGUGAGGUAACGGCUCACCAAG
Molecule: ribosomal RNA, 212 nt
Filed under: uncultured bacterium
Lineage: Bacteria
Description: partial 16S ribosomal RNA
Rfam family: Bacterial small subunit ribosomal RNA
Source: RNAcentral